GUUCAUUGGUCUUUUUGCAUUGGAAGCUCUUUCUGUCUCUACUCGCGCGCGCACCUGGUAACCUCGUACAGUCAUGCUCAUACCCCCCACAAUUCCGCGUAUCUCUGGUUUGUUAAUUAAUUUUCACCCACUUUUUCCUUCCUUUGACCACGGAACGUUUACUUAGAAGUUAGAAUGAUGAAUAGUAGAAUAUAUAAAACGCUACGAUCUCAGACUUGUACACU
This 224-nucleotide long non-coding RNA is filed under the name Glycine max (soybean). Its description in RNAcentral is "long non-coding RNA (GMAX_LNC000688)". Lineage: Eukaryota; Viridiplantae; Streptophyta; Magnoliopsida; Fabales; Fabaceae. The record is from RNAcentral.